GAUGAACGCUGGCGGCGUGCUUAACACAUGCAAGUCGAACGGAAAGGCCCAAGCUUGCUUGGGUACUCGAGUGGCGAACGGGUGAGUAACACGUGGGUGAUCUGCCCUGCACUUCGGGAUAAGCCUGGGAAACUGGGUCUAAUACCGGAUAGGACCACUUCUUGGAUGUUGUGGUGGAAAGUUUUUUCGGUGUGGGAUGAGCUCGCGGCCUAUCAGCUUGUUGGGGGGGUAAUGGCCUACCAAGGCGUCGACGGGUAGCCGGCCUGAGAGGGUGUACGGCCACAUUGGGACUGAGAGACGGCCCAGACUCCUACGGGAGGCAGCAGGGGGGAAGAUUGAACAAUGGGCGCAAGCCUGAUGCAGAGACGCCGCGGGGGGGAUGACGGCCUUCGGGUUGAAAACUCCUUUCGCUAGGGACGAAGCGUUUUGUGACGGUACCUGGAGAAGAAGCACCGGCUAACUACGUG
RNAcentral lists this ribosomal RNA (467 nucleotides) under uncultured bacterium. Its description in RNAcentral is "partial 16S ribosomal RNA". It matches the Rfam family "Bacterial small subunit ribosomal RNA", at positions 28 to 507 of the family's 1533-position model. The record is from RNAcentral.